GGGGAAUUUUCCGCAAUGGGCGAAAGCCUGACGGAGUGACGCCGCGUGGGGGACGAAGGCCUUCGGGUUGUAAACCCCUGUCAGAGGGAAAGAAGGGUGUCGGCGCGAUAACCGCCGGUACUUGACGGUACCUUCAGAGGAAGCCCCGGCCAACUCUGUGCCAGCAGCCGCGGUAAGACAGGGGGGGCAAGCGUUGUUCGGAAUUACUGGGCGUAAAGGGCUCGUAGGCGGCCAACUAAGUCGGACGUGAAAUCCCCAGGCUCAACCUGGGAACUGCGUCCGAUACUGGAUGGCUUGAAUCCGGGAGAGGGAUGCAGAAUUCCAGGUGUAGCGGUGAAAUGCGUAGAUAUCUGGAGGAAUACCGGUGGCGAAGGCGGCAUCCUGGACCGGCAUUGACGCUGAGGAGCGAAAGCCAGGGGAGCAAAC
Molecule: ribosomal RNA, 426 nt
Filed under: uncultured bacterium
Lineage: Bacteria
Description: bacterial SSU rRNA
Rfam family: Bacterial small subunit ribosomal RNA
Source: RNAcentral